AAUCUUCACCCAGAAAUUCCUUUGUAGAUCUCCCUCUAGAUCAAAUCUUUUUCAAUCCCAUUGAAAAAAAAAUUCAAUCUUUACCAUCAAAAAGUUCAAAUCUUUGCAAUUUUCCCAAUCAAAAACAUCAAUUUUUACACUUUUCCCCAUCAUCCUCACCUUUCUCUCCUGUAUUUCUCUUCAUCUCGCUCCACGAUUCCCAGAUUCGUUCAAUUUUCGGUCUUUUGCUUCAGAUCUUGACUGUUUGUUUUGCUGCUGGUUUAUUGUCCUGCAUACUUCAUGGCUUCCUUGGAUAUGUCUCUUGAUGAUAUGAUAAAAAGUAGGAGAAAUAAUGAGAAAGGAGGUAGGGGACAAGGCAGGGCCCGACGAGGAAGAGGGCAAGGAGGAUCAGUUAGAGGUGGAAGAACAACAGGAGCUCUUCGUAAAGGGGCACUUGGUGUAAAUGCUCGGCCAUCUGCCAACAGAAUUGCCAAGGCAAGCAUAAAACUGUCGGAGUCUUUUGCAUUUCCUAGACAAUUUGAUAUGCUUAAAAAAUCAAACUGAGGAUUGUCAUAUAUUUGCUUUAGAAUUGACAUACAAGAGAUAUUGAUACGUUUGGCCCAAAGAGAAAGUCCGCUUUUGUUCAGCCAUAAUAAGCUAUUGAAAAUGGUAGUGCAAGUAUCGAUGAUCCUUGAACUUCUUCAUUUGAAUGGCGUUUCCUCGAGGAAUUCGCAAUGGAUUUUGAUAAAAUGGGAUAUUCAGGUGGCCCUGUUCUUGCAUACAUGACUUCUUUGUAGCAUGUUGCAAAAGGUGCUUCAAUAACUGGAAAAAUUAAAGAGAUUUCAACAUUUAAUUUCCAUAACAUCUAGAGGGUUGUACUUUCUUUACCAUCUCUUGUCCUCAUUGUCUAAUUGCUAUUGCUCUAGUUUCUCACCACUGGUAUAAAAGGGAGUUUGCAAUUCUCGUGAUGGAUCCUACUGCAAUAUGUGGAACUGCUACAGUGUCAAGAUCUUCUAUUACAAUCUAUUCCAUGGUCUUUUUUGCAAAGGUGGCUUCAUUCACUGAACAUCUAAAGUGGAGCUCUCACCUUUUGUUUAAGGAUGUGUUGAUGUGCAGUUGGUCAAAUCCUCCAUUCCACCAACACUUUUUCUGCAUAGUUCAUUCCCCUUUCUCUGUUAGGUUACAUUGUUUUUUGAGCAAUUCGACGUAAGAAACUCCUCCCUAGUUCGAUGGGAAACUGAUGAUAUCUGAUUUAAUCUUGAAGAAUGGUUAUUUGUCUUAUUUUUUGGUAGUAUGCUGAUUUUUAACUUUCCACCUGGAUAUCUUUUGGGCAUUCUUGCUUCAGUCUUUCCACAGAACCAAGAAUUUGCCAUGGCAGAAUGGUUUGCUUGAAGAUAGUCUUAGAGCUGCAGGGAUAUCGUCAGGGUUAGAGAGUGGCACUAAGGUGUAUGUAUCUAACUUGGAUGUCGGAGUGACAAAUUCAGAUAUAAGGGAACUCUUCGCCGAGAUGGGUGAACUGAUACGAUAUGCUAUCCACUAUGACAAAAAUGGACGUCCAAGUGGCUCAGCUGAGGUGGUUUUCGCCAGGAGGAGUGAUGCAUAUCAAGCACUUAAAAGAUACAACAAUGUUCAGUUGGAUGGGAAACCUAUGAAGAUAGAAAUUGUUGCUCCCAAACCGGACAUUCCUUUAUCAGCUCGUGUAGAUGUUGGACGAGCAAAUGGAAGGAGGACUGUUGUCAUGAUGCCGGGCUCAGUUCGUGGAAGGGGUGGUGCAUCUGCUGCUAAUCGUGGUUCAAGUCAAAGGGGCCACGGUGGCUUGGGUAAUGCAUCAGGACGAGGCCGCGGUCGUGGACGUGGAGGACGCGGUCGUGGUGGUAGGGGUAGGAAGAAUGGCGUUGAGAAGUCGGCAGAAGAUCUUGACAAGGAGCUGGAAAACUAUCAUGCUAGUGCAGAUGCUAUGCAAACCUAAUACAGUGGUGCACUUUCAAGAACUGCAAGAACAUUUGCUGUAAAGUUUGCUGACUGCUAUAGUAUUUUUUUUCUGAUACUUUCGGAGGAUGCUAGUUUUUGGUUUUAAUGGUUUGUAACAUGAAUAGUAGAACGUCGAUGUGAGUUAGUAUAAUGACUAUAUGGUAGCUUUGUUGCUUUAUUUUGUUUGUGUCCAUCCAAGUAUUAACCAUGGAUCUGGAACUAACUAGCAAGCAUUUGCUUGGAAAAGUGAAUAUGGUGAGAAAAUU
Molecule: unclassified non-coding RNA, 2216 nt
Filed under: Hevea brasiliensis (rubber tree)
Lineage: Eukaryota; Viridiplantae; Streptophyta; Magnoliopsida; Malpighiales; Euphorbiaceae
Source: RNAcentral